UACGGAGGGGGCUAGCGUUGUUCGGAAUUACUGGGCGUAAAGCGUACGUAGGCGGCUUUGUAAGUUAGAGGUGAAAGCCCGGGGCUCAACCCCGGAAUUGCCUUUAAGACUGCAUCGCUAGAAUCAUGGAGAGGUGAGUGGAAUUCCGAGUGUAGAGGUGAAAUUCGUAGAUAUUCGCAAGAACACCAGUGGCGAAGGCGGCUCACUGGCCCGAUACUGACGCUGAGGCACGAAAGCGUGGGGAGCAAACAGG
RNAcentral lists this ribosomal RNA (253 nucleotides) under uncultured bacterium. Its description in RNAcentral is "partial 16S ribosomal RNA". It matches the Rfam family "Bacterial small subunit ribosomal RNA", at positions 524 to 776 of the family's 1533-position model. The record is from RNAcentral.